UACGAAGGGGGCUAGCGUUGCUCGGAAUCACUGGGCGUAAAGCGCACGUAGGCGGACUCUUAAGUCGGUGGUGAAAUCCUGGAGCUCAACUCCAGAACUGCCUUCGAUACUGAGAGUCUCGAGUCCGGGAGAGGUGAGUGGAACUGCGAGUGUAGAGGUGAAAUUCGUAGAUAUUCGCAAGAACACCAGUGGCGAAGGCGGCUCACUGGCCCGGUACUGACGCUGAGGAGCGAAAGCAUGGGGAGCGAACAGG
This 253-nucleotide ribosomal RNA is filed under the name uncultured bacterium. Its description in RNAcentral is "partial 16S ribosomal RNA". It matches the Rfam family "Bacterial small subunit ribosomal RNA", at positions 524 to 776 of the family's 1533-position model. The record is from RNAcentral.